Molecule: ribosomal RNA, 627 nt
Filed under: uncultured bacterium
Lineage: Bacteria
Description: bacterial SSU rRNA
Rfam family: Bacterial small subunit ribosomal RNA (bases 1-540)
Source: RNAcentral
CCUACGGGAGGCAGCAGUAAGGAAUAUUGGACAAUGGGCGAAAGCCUGAUCCAGCCAUGCCGCGUGAAGGAUUAAGGUCCUCUGGAUUGUAAACUUCUUUUAUGUGGGACGAAAAAAGGGCAUUCUUGCUCACUUGACGGUACCAUAUGAAUAAGCACCGGCUAACUCCGUGCCAGCAGCCGCGGUAAUACGGAGGGUGCAAGCGUUAUCCGGAUUCACUGGGUUUAAAGGGUGCGUAGGCGGAUAGGUAAGUCAGUGGUGAAAUCUCGAAGCUUAACUUCGAAACUGCCAUUGAUACUAUCUAUCUUGAAUAUUGUGGAGGUUUGCGGAAUAUGUCAUGUAGCGGUGAAAUGCUUAGAUAUGACAUAGAACACCGAUUGCGAAGGCAGCAGGCUACACAUAUAUUGACGCUGAGGCACGAAAGCGUGGGGAUCAAACAGGAUUAGAUACCCUGGUAGUCCACGCCCUAAACCGAUGAUUACUCGACAUACGCGAUACACUGUGUGUGUUNUGAGACGAAGACAUUAAGUAAGUACCACCGUCGGUAGUACGUCCGCGAGAGUAGAACGUACGAAGGAAGUUAGACGGCGUUGAGGACGNGCCGACGGACGACGACGAGGGAGGAGG